AGAGUUUGAUCCUGGCUCAGAACGAACGUUGGCGGCGUGGAUUAGGCAUGCAAGUCGAGCGAAUCCCAGCAAUGGGGGAAGCGGCGAAAGGGGCAGUAAGGCAUGGGUAACCUACCCUGGGGACUGGAAUAGCCCUUCGAGAGAAGGGGUAAUGCCGGGCGAUGUGAUUGGCUGGCAUCAGUUGAUCACCAAAUGAGUUUCGCCCUGGGAGGGGCCCAUGUGAUAUUAGCUAGUUGGUGAGGUAACGGCUCACCAAGGCGAAGAUGUCUAGCGGGUGUGAGAGCACGACCCGCGCCACUGGCACUGAGACACUGGCCAGACACCUACGGGUGGCUGCAGUCGAGGAUCUUCGGCAAUGGGCGCAAGCCUGACCGAGCGACGCCGCGUGUGCGAUGAAGGCCUUCGGGUUGUAAAGCACUGUCGAGGGGGAGAAAAGCCGAAAGGUUUGAUCUAUCCCUGGAGGAAGCACGGGCUAAGUUCGUGCCAGCAGCCGCGGUAAGACGAACCGUGCGAACGUUGUUCGGAAUCACUGGGCUUAAAGGGCGCGUAGGCGGGUCGCCAAGUUUGGGGUGAAAUCCUCCGGCUCAACCGGAGAACUGCCUCAAAUACUGGCGAUCUCGAGGGGGAUAGGGGCAUGCGGAACUACGGGUGGAGCGGUGAAAUGCGUUGAUAUCCGUAGGAACUCCGGUGGCGAGGGCGGCGUGCUGGAUCC
This 712-nucleotide ribosomal RNA is filed under the name uncultured bacterium. RNAcentral's name for it is "bacterial SSU rRNA". It matches the Rfam family "Bacterial small subunit ribosomal RNA", at positions 8 to 736 of the family's 1533-position model. The record is from RNAcentral.